RNAcentral lists this ribosomal RNA (405 nucleotides) under uncultured bacterium. RNAcentral describes it as "bacterial SSU rRNA". It matches the Rfam family "Bacterial small subunit ribosomal RNA", at positions 29 to 418 of the family's 1533-position model. The record is from RNAcentral.
AACGAACGUUGGCGGCGUGGAUGAGGCAUGCAAGUCGAACGUGAAAGCCGCAAGGUGAGUAGCGUGGCGGACGGGCGAGUAACACGUAAUCAAGCUGCCUGCGAGACGGGGAUAACUUCGGGAAACCGAAGCUAAGACCCCGAUGGUCUACCGAGACUGCAUGGUUUUGGUAGUAAAUGGGCGGGAUCCUCCGGGAUCGUCUGCUCGCAGAGGUGAUUGCGGCCCAUCAGCUAGUUGGUAGGGUAACGGCCUACCAAGGCAACGACGGGUAGCCGGCCUAACGAGGGUGGUCGGCCGCACUGGGACUGAGACACUGCCCAGACUCCUACGGGAGGCUGCAGUCGAGAAUCCUCCGCAAUGGGCGAAAGCCUGACGGAGCGACGCCGCGUGGAGGACGAAGGCCUU